AUUAUUUGACUUUUCAACAUUUGUCUUGGAAUUACCUACGCCCAAAUCACCCACCUUGGCACUCUCGGCUACUUCAUUCUCUUUAUAUACUCCACAUGCGUAUUAUAUCAAACCAGAAUCAAGAACUCGUAAAAGUAACUUCAUUACUUUGUAAUUUUGAUUCCGGAAGUGGAUAUCUUUUCUGACUUGAAGAUUAUGGAAAUUAGCUGCGCAGGUUUUUAGGCCAAUUUCAGUUGAAUAUAU
Molecule: long non-coding RNA, 243 nt
Filed under: Citrus maxima (pomelo)
Lineage: Eukaryota; Viridiplantae; Streptophyta; Magnoliopsida; Sapindales; Rutaceae
Description: long non-coding RNA (CMAX_LNC001737)
Source: RNAcentral